UCGAGGUCCAUAUACCUGGUAGAGUC
Molecule: small RNA, 26 nt
Filed under: Bombyx mori (domestic silkworm)
Lineage: Eukaryota; Metazoa; Arthropoda; Insecta; Lepidoptera; Bombycidae
Description: ovarian small RNA-28395
Source: RNAcentral